AACGCACCUUGCGCCCUUUGGCUAUUCCGAAGGGCAUGCCUGUUUGAGUAUCAUGAACACCUCAACUCUCAUGGCUUGCCAUGACGAGCUUGGACUUUGGGGGUCUUGCCGGCCUGCGGUCGGCUCCUCUCAAAUGAAUCAGCUUACCAGUGUUUGGUGGCAUCACAGGUGUGAUAACUAUCUACGCUUGUGGUUUUCCACCAGGUAACCUUCAGUGAUGGAGGUUUGCUGGGGCUCAUAAAUGUCUCUCCUCAGUGAGGACAGCUCUUUGAACAUUUGAUCUCAAAUCAGGUAGGACUACCCGCUGAACUUAA
RNAcentral lists this unclassified non-coding RNA (314 nucleotides) under uncultured fungus. RNAcentral describes it as "partial contains 5.8S ribosomal RNA, internal transcribed spacer 2, and large subunit ribosomal RNA". The record is from RNAcentral. RNAcentral also lists the same sequence under 1 other name. Lineage: Eukaryota; Fungi.